GCUGACUCUUCGGACUCAGCCGGCCUGCACCCAGGUGAAAUAAACAGCCAUGUUGCUCACACAAAGCCUGUUUGGUGGUCUCUUCACAUGGACGCGCAUGAAAUUUGGUGCCGUGACUUGGAUAGGGGGACCUCCCUUGGGAGAUCAAUCCCCCGUCCUCCUGCUCUUUGCUCCAUAAGAAAGAUCCACCUACGACCUCACGUCCUCAGACCGACCAGCCCAAGAAACAUCUCAGCAAUUUCAAAUCCGGUUCCAAACCUUAUGAAUCUACUGUAGCUGAUCUAGAUACACUUCAGGUCUCAGCUGAGAACUCACAUCCUUCUGAAGCUUAUAAGACUUGGGCAAAAUCCAACUUGAAUCAAUUAGUGAAACAGAAUGAAUCCACCUUUUCACCACUUCAAUCAAAUGCCAGUUAGUAGCAAUUAGUACUCACUGAAGAUGAUAUACGAUCCUGAAAAUUCUAAUCAGGGAAAAAAAAUCCUGGGGAGAAAUUCAAGCUAGCUGAAGAAAUUUGCAUAAGUAAUGGGGAACCAAAUGUUAAUCACCAAGACAAUGGGGAAAAUGUCUCCAGGGCAUUUCAGAGAUCCUAGAGGCAGCUUUUCCCAUCACAGGCCUGGAGGCCUAAGAGGGAAAAAGUGGUUUCUUGGGUUAACCUUGGGAUGUGGCAUCCUGCAUCCCAGUCACUCCAGCUCCAGCCACGGAUACAAGGGCCAAGGUACAGCUCAGCCCAUUGCUUCAAAGGGUGGAAGCCCUAAACGUUGACAGCUUCCAUGUGGUGUUGAGCCUGCGAAUGCACAGAAGACAAGAGUUGAGGUUUGAGUACCUCCACCUAGAUUUCAGAGGAUAUAUGGAAAUACCUGGAUGUCUAGGCAGAAGUGUGCUGCAGGGGCAGAGCCCUCAUGGAGAACCUUUGCUAAGGCAGUGUGGAAGGGAAAUGUGUGGGUUGGAUACCCCACAGAGAGUCCCCACUGGGGCACUGCCUAAUGGAGCUGUGAGAAGAGAUCCGAUAUCCUCCAGACCCCAGAAUGGUAGAUCCACCUACAGCUUGCCCCAUGCACCUGGAAAAGCCACAGACACUCAACACCAGCCCAUAAAAGCAGCCAGGAGGGGGACUGUACGCGGCAGAGCCACAGGAUGGAGCUUUCCACAACUGUGGGAGCCCACUCCUUGCAUCGGCAUGCCCUGGAUGUGAGACAUGGAGUCAAAGGAGAUUUUGGACCUUUAAAAUUUAAUGACUGCCCAGCAGGGUUUCAGACUUGCAUGGGGCCUGUGGCCCCUUUGUUUUGGCCAGUUUCUUCCAUUUUGAAUCGGAACAUUUACCCAAUGAUUCUACCCUCACUGUGUCUUGGAAGUAACUAACACCUGCUUAUUGAUUUUACAGGCUCAUAGGUGGAAGGGACUUGUCUUUUCUCAGGUGAAACUUUGGACUUGGACUUUUGAGUUAAUGCUGGAUGAGAUAAAACUUUGGGGGCUUUUGGGAAGGCAAUGACUGGUUUUGAAAUGUCAAGACAUGAGAUUUGGGAUGUGCCAGGGGUGGAAUGAUAUGAUUUGGCUCUGUGCCCCCACCCAAAUCUCACUUCAAAUUGUAAUCCCCAUGUGAUGUGGGAGGGACCAGGUGAGAGGUGAUUGGAUCAUGGGGGUGGUUUUCCCCAUGCUGUUCUCAUGACAGUGGGGAGUUCUCAUGCGAUCCGAUGGUUUAAAAGUGAAAGUUUCCCCUGUGCUCUCUCUCUU
This 1731-nucleotide long non-coding RNA is filed under the name Homo sapiens (human). RNAcentral describes it as "non-protein coding lnc-POT1-2:2". The record is from RNAcentral. Lineage: Eukaryota; Metazoa; Chordata; Mammalia; Primates; Hominidae.